CCUACGGGGGGCAGCAGUGGGGAAUAUUGCACAAUGGGCGCAAGCCUGAUGCAGCCAUGCCGCGUGUGUGAAGAAGGCCUUCGGGUUGUAAAGCACUUUCAGCGGGGAGGAAGGCGUUAAGGUUAAUAACCUUGUCGAUUGACGUUACCCGCAGAAGAAGCACCGGCUAACUCCGUGCCAGCAGCCGCGGUAAUACGGAGGGUGCAAGCGUUAAUCAGAAUUACUGGGCGUAAAGCGCACGCAGGCGGUCUGUCAAGUCGGAUGUGAAAUCCCCGGGCUCAACCUGGGAACUGCAUUCGAAACUGGCAGGCUAGAGUCUUGUAGAGGGGGGUAGAAUUCCAGGUGUAGCGGUGAAAUGCGUAGAGAUCUGGAGGAAUACCGGUGGCGAAGGCGGCCCCCUGGACAAAGACUGACGCUCAGGUGCGAAAGCGUGGGGAGCAAACAGGAUUAGAUACCCCGGUAGUC
This 465-nucleotide ribosomal RNA is filed under the name uncultured Klebsiella sp. RNAcentral's name for it is "bacterial SSU rRNA". It matches the Rfam family "Bacterial small subunit ribosomal RNA", at positions 338 to 795 of the family's 1533-position model. The record is from RNAcentral. Lineage: Bacteria; Pseudomonadati; Pseudomonadota; Gammaproteobacteria; Enterobacterales; Enterobacteriaceae.